UUAAAUUGAAGAGUUUGAUCAUGGCUCAGAUUGAACGCUGGCGGCAGGCCUAACACAUGCAAGUCGAACGGUAACAGGAAGAAGCUUGCUUCUUUGCUGACGAGUGGCGGACGGGUGAGGA
Molecule: ribosomal RNA, 121 nt
Filed under: Escherichia coli
Lineage: Bacteria; Pseudomonadati; Pseudomonadota; Gammaproteobacteria; Enterobacterales; Enterobacteriaceae
Description: partial 16S ribosomal RNA
Rfam family: Bacterial small subunit ribosomal RNA
Source: RNAcentral